RNAcentral lists this long non-coding RNA (254 nucleotides) under Monodelphis domestica (gray short-tailed opossum). Its description in RNAcentral is "lncRNA (ENSMODG00000044734.1)". Lineage: Eukaryota; Metazoa; Chordata; Mammalia; Didelphimorphia; Didelphidae. The record is from RNAcentral.
CUUCAAAAGACAAAUGAAGCUAAGCCUGAGCAUCAUGCCCUCUGCUCUGCCACCACCUCUGCUCCUUCCCACUUCUUACUCCCGUGAAUUAUGAUCAAAUCAAUACUACUUCUGCUAUGGGAAAAGAAAUCAGAGUGUGUGAAAAUGGCAAGAGAAGAGAAAGUGUUGGACUGAAUAACAGAAGGGUCUUUGAAGUCCAGUGGCAAGACAAAAGUCAAGACAACUGGUGAUAGGCCAAGAUGUAGCGGAUGACC